CAGGUAUUCACGACAUUUGUAAAAACGGAUAAAAGGCUUUGUGCAUUCCAACCAAUCGACGUUUUAUUAACAGACCUAUAUUUUACCCGUGCUUUUUGUAUACGGGUAGGGACAUAAUAAUAUUUGAUGUUUUGAUAUCUACUGAAGAUGGCUAAUGAAACCAAUCUACCCAGUCAGUAUGAUACUGAUUAUGGAUAUGAUAAAACCUAUGAUCCAGAAUUCAUCGCUGGACAACAAAUUGCAUUGAAUGAAGCUGCUGCCCGAGUUCUGACUAGAACUAACCCAAUGCAAUGGCGACAAGAAGGUGACAGGUCUACAUAUCCAUCUAUUCAACCAGAUGUCUAUGGGUAUGACCAACCAACCCCAAACGGAGCUAGACAACAGUAUCAUCCCUUUACCAUUAAUAGUGUGGAUGUGGUGAUGAACCAGCCUGUGUUGACCAGAGUAAUACGAACACCGAAACCCACCUGUUAUACUGGGUUAUCUGUCUUCACAUGUUUGUUUUGCUGUAUGCCAUUGGGAUUGAUAGCAAUAAUUAUGUCUUUAAAGGCUACGUCUGCCGCAGAGGAGGGUUCCUUUGAAGUAGCCAGACAUUACGGCGAAUCAGCUAAAAACUUGAAUAUUGCAGGAAUUAUGAUAGGGAUCAUCAUGGUAGUGAUUGCUGGAGUGUUGUAUCACUCAUUCUACAAUACAGAUCAUUAUCAUUAUUAAGACACCAGAUCCUAAUUAUCAGAAUUGUAAUCUAAUAACUAAAUGAUCAACUUAAUUAAGCAAGACGAAAAAUUCUAAUAAUAAUAUUUGUUCCUGUCAUUAUCAGAUAAAUAAUUCUUUUCUUUAUAUAAUAAUUAAUUAUUUUCAUUAUAACAAAAUAUUCCGUUCAUUAUUGUAUCAAUAACUCUUUUUCGGAUAAAUAAUUCUCUUCUUUA
Patella vulgata (common limpet) is the source of this 926-nucleotide long non-coding RNA. RefSeq lists it as uncharacterized. NCBI's taxonomy places the organism in Eukaryota, Metazoa, Mollusca, Gastropoda, Patellidae. The record is from RefSeq and is a predicted model, not a curated record. The transcript is spliced from 4 exons.